CUGAUGGGUGUUCCCUUGUAAGUGAUCUGUUUCUUGUCUUUGAUGGCUUUUAAUAUUCUGUUCUUAUAUUGGAUUUCUGGAAUUUUGAUUAUUAUAUGCCUGGGUGUAGCUCUGUUUGGGUUGUAGGUGGCUGGAGUCCUGUAUGCCUCAUAUAUCUGAGUAUCUUUACCUUUUGCUAAAUUAGGGAAAUUCUCCUGGAUUAUUUCUGUGAGUAGCUUUUGUAGUCCAUUUGUUUGAGUCCCUACUUCUUCUUUUAUGUUCUUAAUUCUUAAGUUAUAGAUCCUCUUAUCAUCUUCUAGUCUUUGUAUUAUUGCUGUUUGUUUUCUUAUUUUUAAAAAGUUUUUCAUUUCAUGCUCCCCCAUUACAAAUCUGCCCUCCAGUUCAGAUAUCCUAUCCUUAGUUUCUUUCAAGCUGUUAUGCUAGCUUUUGAUAGAGUUUUUAGUUUCCAGGUAAUCUCUUUGAACCUGCUUCAUGUAUUCUAUGUUUUCUCUAUUUUCUCCAUUAACCAUUUCUCCCAUUUUUUUCUGUUCUUCCAUUGCACCAUGUUUUUUCUUGGGCAGUUCUUAGUAUUUCUCUAACUAUUCUACUUAUAUCGAGUCUUUUUUUUUUUUUUUUUUUUUUUUUUUUUUUGUCUUUUUCCUUUUUAUCGGUACCAGGGAUUGAACUCACGACUGCCUGCUUGCAAGACAGGCGCUUAUGCCACUGAGCUAAAUCCCCAUAUUCUACUUAUAUCUUGCUUUAUGUCGUUAAAUACUUCUCUUUUGAACUCAUCUAUGAGGCUCCGGAGAUAUUGCUUUAUGUCUACUGGUGCCGUGUCUGAUAUUGCAUGUUUUCUUUCCUCAUUCUCCUUUGCAUUCACCUUUCCUGGAUCAGUGUUCUCAGGAUUGGGGACUGAGGACCCUUUCUUGCUCCUUCUUCUUCCCAAACUUUUUGUUCCUUCCAUACAAGCAAAUAUAGGAGGCCCAGUUUUAUUUUUUUCUCUUUGUUAAAGUUUGUUUGAAUUGCGCCGGCUAGGUGUUCCCGCCCACUGCAGUGUACUAGGGAGACACAGACCUGGGCAGCCUCUGCUGGGCCCGCCCUCCAGGUCAAACUACCUAAGGCUUCACCGAUAGGGUGCACCUCCAGGUGCUGGCACCUGGUUUGGGCUAGCCUACUGGGUCUUAGUCAGUGUCGUCACCUAGGCCAGGUACUCCCCACCAAUCCUGCUUGAGAGGGAAAUAUGUGACUAAAGUUACUGCAGCGUCCUGUUCUGGCAAGUCUGCCCGGUUCCAGUAUGUCCUUUGCUGAAGCCUCCUACUCUAUGGAAGGGUCCCCGUUUUGCUCACUCACCACAGGUCGAUGCAGGGCUCCCUGCCAGUCCCAUUCUCAACUCCAUUGGCCGAUUCCCACUCUCAGAGUUUUUGUGUGUCUCUCUCCCUGCUGUGCCGAUUUGGACGCAGCAGUGGUAGCAGGACAUUCAAAUUGCGGCUUCCAACCGCACAGGAUCCAGCUACUGCGCUGAGAUUUUAUCUGUUCCUGUUAUACCACCGGGAUUGUGUUUCCAGUUGGUUUCUCUUAGCUUAGUUUAUUCCUGGGACGGCAGGGUAUAUCUCCUCUUGCUUAGGACUCCUUGCACUGCCCCAUUCCUGGAUUCUAAGUGGGGUAUCUCAGAGAGCCUCCGUAGCUGCUGCUAUCUAUUCACCAUGUUCUCCUGGAAGUCCUACCCUGCUCUUUUUCAACCUAUUUGUUCCCUUUUGCCUCACAUGAAUGACUUAAAACACUAAGUAUAAGUUGUGGAAAUUCCCAUGCCGGGGUCACCUCUUUUUGGGAGAGAGCUGAGGCAGCUCCCUUCUGGUCCUGGAAACACUGUCCAGGAGGAGGCAAGAACCCAGUCCCACCCUGGGGAAGCCCAAGACUGUCAAAGAGAAGUGACUGGGAGUGGCUGUACACUGACACCUGCUCACGUGCACUGGCCCGGGUCUGUUAGCAGUGCUUUUCAGGGCAUUGGUUCGCUCUGAAUUGUGGUUUCCACCUCAGCUGUCUCCAGUGGGGAAGACAUGCACAGUCCAUGACAGCUGGGAGGCCCAGGGCAGCAUUGAGAAGGAGGCGCUCAGUCUUCUUGGAGGAUGGAAGAGGCCAGGGCUGGACUCUCCAGAAUAUGGCACCAGAACCAACAUCAAAGCCCAGGUCACGUUUCCUCUGUCUUUUACUGUCGGUAUUGGGAAGCUCUGGUAUCCGGGUCUUGUUGACCUGGGAGCAGGGACACCUACUCCCAGGGCUGGCUGUUUCCAAGGGACAAUAGAAGACUCAGCUGAGAUGCUUCUUUCCCUCUUUUUUUAAUCUUUUGACCCAGAGUUUCACUGUGUUGCCCAGGUUGGCCACGGACUCCCUAUCUUUCUGCCUCAGCCUCUGAGUAACUGAAAUCGUAGGUGUGGGCCAUCUCAUCUGGGUUGUGAGUGCUCCUUUCACAACCAACCAACCCAGGACCUGUGGCCCACCACCUCACUUCCUGCCCAAUGCCCACUUGCCCUUAUCACCCUGUGCUAGGCCCCAGUAUGUAGAAGUCCGAGGCCUCAGAUCCAUCAAUUUUACCCAACUCCUGAGCCUGCUUCCCCUGCCCACCUGUUCCUUCCAUGGGAACGGCAGUCCACGUGCGGCUCACAGUCCCUCUUCCUCCCGCCUCCUGCCCCACCUGCCCACGUCCCUUUCUGGGCCCUGUGUGUGAUGUGGCUCCCUCCUUUUGAGACCUGUGAGUUACCAACCAUCUCUCAGUGGCAGUCCUCUCCUCACCUACUAGCCUUGUCAGAAUAGUACGAGAAGCAAUUUCUUUCCUUCUUCACUCAGUUUUCUGAUCCCUCUAGAAUGAGAAAAUGGCUUGAGAGGAGGCCAACCUAUUAUUUUGACAAAAUAUCUGAAAGUGAACUUAAAGAACAAAGGUAUAUUUUGACUUAUGGUUUCAGAAGAGUUAGUCCAUGGUCAGUGGGCUUGGUUGCUUUUGGGGUCGAGGGGAAUGGGACUAGAGGAGCAGAAAAUGUUGCUUUUCAUUAUAAACUAUUUUCUAGUGGACUCUUUUAACCUUAUGCAUGUGCUCCUUUGGUAUGAUUUUGAAAUUCACAAAUGAGUGUAAAUUCCAGGCUGAGAUGACAUAAGCCAUCCAUGCAUCUGGUGCUUUGAAGUCCUGGUCUGCCCCAUUCCUAAUGGCAGCCCUGACUGACUCCUGUCUUGGAGUCUGCACUUCUCUCUCACCCCCCACCCCAUCUCACUUACACAUCCCCCACUGGCCCCUCAGCAAUGCUCUCCCCAGAGUGUGGUCAUUCUGUGUUUUCUUCCCGCCUUCCACCAGUAUCCUGGGAGAAACACUGAUCAUGCUUCCUACAGCCAGUGAGGGAAAGAAACAGCAUGAAAGUAACUGAACAAAAGUUUCCACAAGGGUCUGUAAUGUACAUAAAGCUGUACUUCAAAAGCCAACAUUAUUCUAAUUUUUUCCAGGUUUAAUACUUUUGCUAGCUCCCUGCUGCUUACAAGAUAAAAUGCCUUCUGCAUGACAUGAGGCCCUGAGGCGAACAGAUUUCUUCCGUCACAUACUUCUGUCUCACUACAGGUCCAAAGCAACAGGACCAGCCAGGGUCUGAGGAGUAUAGGCCAGGAAGAAAUCUGCCUAUCCAUAUGGCAGAGAGGCCGGAUGUCUGACUUUCUCACGCACUGGACAGAAAAACGGCAGAACUCCAGGCACUGUGCGGAGUUGUGGGAGCAGAACACAACUCGGGGUGAGAGCAGCUCCUAGCACAGAGGGCAAAACUGUGGCUUGCCUGGCGCCUCCAUGGCUUUGAGCUGCACACCCAGCUUGCAGAACAGUCGCUGAGACAGGUCAGCGUGGAGCUGUGGCCAGGUGUGGCUUUCCUCAAGGUGAAACAAGCCAGGAAGCGCCUCAGACACCCCUGUGAGCCAGCAACCAAAUUUAGCCCACCACUUCCCUGCUGUAUGGCUCAGGAGCCAAGGAUACUUCUUACGUUUUUAAGAGGUUGUAAAAAAAAAAGUCCACGUUCAAAGAUAUGCAGCAGAGACCAUUCAAAGCCCACACGGUCAGAAUUAGUUACUUGCGGGUUCUCUGAAGAGGUUCAUGGUCCCGUGCAACUUAAACAUGACCCGAAUGUAGCCUCACCUGUGUAGUGACUUCAUUGUUAGCAGUCAGGGGCGCAGGAGUGCCCCAGGCUCCAGUCUCCAGCCACCACCUGCCCACAAUGGCGUCCUGGGCCAGGGGCUGUCGGCUGCUUCCUGUUUUUUCACCUAACGUCUGCUGAAUUAGGUCAUCCUAGACCCCAGGCAGUUCUGUAAUUCUGCGCAUCUGUGGUCUCUGCCUUGUUCCAUGUCCACUGCACAUAUUUCACUUCCAGGAGGACCUUGGAAUAGCUUCAGCUGACUUAUGAUCAAGCAAGGAAGCCCGUAAGAUCUUAGCUUCAGCGGUCAAGUCUCCAAAGUCUAGAAAUGGGUUCUCGAGACUGGCAGCGUUAACUCAGGGUUUCCCAGAUGAGCUGUGGUAAAGGACCAAUGGAUAAGCACUUCCAUCAAAUCAAAUCAAAUCAAAGAAGCUACUAGAAAAGUAUAAAAAAUAAAAAGUCCAUCCACAAUACAA
Long non-coding RNA from Cavia porcellus (domestic guinea pig), 4612 nucleotides. RefSeq lists it as uncharacterized. The record is from RefSeq and is a predicted model, not a curated record. Lineage: Eukaryota; Metazoa; Chordata; Mammalia; Rodentia; Caviidae. The transcript has 3 exons.